This 338-nucleotide ribosomal RNA is filed under the name uncultured bacterium. RNAcentral's name for it is "partial 16S ribosomal RNA". It matches the Rfam family "Bacterial small subunit ribosomal RNA", at positions 338 to 668 of the family's 1533-position model. The record is from RNAcentral.
CCUACGGGUGGCAGCAGUAGGGAAUCUUCCACAAUGGGCGAAAGCCUGAUGGAGCAACGCCGCGUGGGUGAAGAAGGUCUUCGGAUCGUAAAACCCUGUUGUUAGAGAAGAAAGUGCGUGAGAGUAACUGUUCACGUUUCGACGGUAUCUAACCAGAAAGCCACGGCUAACUACGUGCCAGCAGCCGCGGUAAUACGUAGGUGGCAAGCGUUAUCCGGAUUUAUUGGGCGUAAAGGGAACGCAGGCGGUCAUUUAGGUCUGAUGUGAAAGCCUUCGGCUCAACCGGGGUAGUGAAUUGGAAACUGGCAGAGUAGAGCACGGAAGAGGAAAGAGGAAGG